Molecule: long non-coding RNA, 767 nt
Filed under: Populus trichocarpa (black cottonwood)
Lineage: Eukaryota; Viridiplantae; Streptophyta; Magnoliopsida; Malpighiales; Salicaceae
Description: long non-coding RNA (PTRI_LNC001773)
Source: RNAcentral
AAUGGUAUCCAGGAAAAUGCUUGACCCAGAAGCUUCUUAAGAAGAAGCCCAAGAAAGGAUCCAAGAAUGCCAAGCCAAUUACUAAAACUGAAGACUGUGAAAGUUUUUUCAACUUCUUCAGUCCACCACAAGUUCCUGACGAUGAUGAAGACAUAGAUGAAGAUACUGUAAUGAUGAACUUCAUUAAAUCUAUUGAAAUGAUUGGUGAUAUUUCAUUUCUUCUUGUUUAAAUUCUGGGUUCUGUUUUUGUUUGAUUUUCUUGUUCUUGAACAGGCUGAGGAAUUGCAAAAUCAGAUGGAGCAAGAUUAUGACAUUGGGUGAGCUCUUUUUUUCCAAAUAUUUCCUUAUUGUUAUGGAUUGGGUUUCUAAGUGACAAUCAGUGUUUAUUUUUAAACGUUAUAGAGUCCCGCAACUGCUAGCCACCAAUUUCCAUACUUGUUUUUCCCUGUUGAACUUCUUUCAUUUAUUUGUCUUUGCUUUCAGGUCAACCAUUCGAGACAAGAUCAUCCCCCAUGCUGUGUCAUGGUUUACCGGGGAGGCUGUUCAGGGGGAUGAGCUUGGACUAGAUGAUGGUGACAAUGACGAUUAUGAAGAUAUUGAUGAGGAUGAUGACGAGGAGGAAGAUGAGGACGAUGAAGAAGAUGAAGAUGAAGAAGAUGAGGAUGAGGAUGAGGAUGAAGGCAAGACCAAAAAGAAGGUUAGAUUAUCUUGAAAUCUGAAUUGGCCAUGUUGUAUUUCUUUUCCUUUUAUCUAUUUGAAGUUUGGUG